AGAGUUUGAUCCUGGCUCAGAUUGAACGCUGGCGGUAUGCUUAACACAUGCAAGUCGAACGGAAACGGAACUAGCUUGCUAGUAGACGUCGAGUGGCGGACGGGUGAGUAACGCGUAGGAAUCUGCCUGAUAGUGGGGGAUAGCCCGAAGAAAUUCGGAUUAAUACCGCAUAAUCUAUUCGUAGUAAAGUGGGGGACUUUCGAGCCUCACGCUAUCAGAUGAGCCUGCGUAAGAUUAGCUAGUUGGUAGGGUAAAAGCCUACCAAGGCUACGAUCUUUAGCUGGUCUGAGAGGAUGAUCAGCCACAUCGGGACUGAGACACGGCCCGAACUCCUACGGGAGGCAGCAGUGGGGAAUAUUGGACAAUGGGGGCAACCCUGAUCCAGCAAUACCGCGUGUGUGAAGAAGGCCUGAGGGUUGUAAAGCACUUUCAAUUGUGAAGAAAAGUUAACGGUUAAUAACCGUUAGCCUUGACGUUAACUUUAGAAGAAGCACCGGCUAACUCCGUGCCAGCAGCCGCGGUAAUACGGAGGGUGCAAGCGUUAAUCGGAAUUACUGGGCGUAAAGCGUGCGUAGGCGGUUUAUUAAGUCAGAUGUGAAAGCCCCGGGCUUAACCUGGGAACUGCAUUUGAAACUGGUCAACUAGAGUAUGGUAGAGGAAAGUGGAAUUUCUGGUGUAGCGGUGAAAUGCGUAGAUAUCAGAAGGAACAUCAAUGGCGAAGGCAGCUUUCUGGACCAAUACUGACGCUGAGGUACGAAAGCGUGGGUAGCAAACAGGAUUAGAUACCCUGGUAGUCCACGCCGUAAACGAUGAUAACUAGCCGUUGGGGGGAUUUACCCCUUAGUGGCGAAGCUAACGCGUUAAGUUAUCCGCCUGGGGAGUACGGCCGCAAGGCUAAAACUCAAAGGAAUUGACGGGGACCCGCACAAGCGGUGGAGCAUGUGGUUUAAUUCGAUGCAACGCGAAGAACCUUACCUGGUCUUGACAUCCUGCGAACUUUCUAGAAAUAGAUUGGUGCCUUCGGGAACGCAGUGACAGGUGCUGCAUGGCUGUCGUCAGCUCGUGUCGUGAGAUGUUGGGUUAAGUCCCGUAACGAGCGCAACCCCUAUCCUUAUUUGCCAGCACAUUAUGGUGGGAACUAUAAGGAGACUGCCGGUGAUAAACCGGAGGAAGGCGGGGACGACGUCAAGUCAUCAUGGCCCUUACGACCAGGGCUACACACGUGCUACAAUGGGAAGGACAAAGAGCCGCGAAGCCGCGAGGUGUAGCUAAUCUCAUAAAUCUUUUCGUAGUCCGGAUUGGAGUCUGCAACUCGACUCCAUGAAGUCGGAAUCGCUAGUAAUCGUAGAUCAGAAUGCUACGGUGAAUACGUUCCCGGGUCUUGUACACACCGCCCGUCACACCAUGGAAGUUGGUUACACCUUAAGGCAAAGCGUAAAAACUUUGACUACGGUACGAUCAGCGACUGGGGUGAAGUCGUAACAAGGUAACC
RNAcentral lists this ribosomal RNA (1492 nucleotides) under uncultured bacterium. Its description in RNAcentral is "bacterial SSU rRNA". It matches the Rfam family "Bacterial small subunit ribosomal RNA". The record is from RNAcentral.